This 253-nucleotide ribosomal RNA is filed under the name uncultured bacterium. Its description in RNAcentral is "partial 16S ribosomal RNA". It matches the Rfam family "Bacterial small subunit ribosomal RNA", at positions 524 to 776 of the family's 1533-position model. The record is from RNAcentral.
UACGUAGGGGGCAAGCGUUGUCCGGAUUUAUUGGGCGUAAAGAGCGUGUAGGCGGUUUGGUAGGUCCGCUGUGAAAGCCCGGGGCUCAACCCCGGGAGGCGGGCGGAUACUGUCGGGCUAGAGUCCGGAAGAGGCGAGUGGAAUUCCUGGUGUAGCGGUGAAAUGCGCAGAUAUCAGGAGGAACACCAAUGGCGAAGGCAGCUCGCUGGGACGGUACUGACGCUGAGACGCGAAAGCGUGGGGAGCAAACAGG